Molecule: ribosomal RNA, 822 nt
Filed under: fungal sp. BG46
Lineage: Eukaryota; Fungi
Description: eukaryotic LSU rRNA
Rfam family: Eukaryotic large subunit ribosomal RNA
Source: RNAcentral
CUGCGAGUGAAGCGGCAAAAGCUCAAAUUUGAAAUCGGCGUCCUUUGCGGGCAUCGAGUUGUAAUUUGGAGGGAUAACUUCGGUACAGACUACAUCGUAAGUUCCUUGGAACAGGACGUCAUAGAGGGUGAGAAUCCCGUGUCUUGGUGUUUGGCUGUGCCAUGUGAAGUGUCUCCGACGAGUCGAGUUGUUUGGGAAUGCAGCUCAAAAUGGGUGGUAAAUUUCAUCUAAAGCUAAAUAUUGGCGAGAGACCGAUAGCGCACAAGUAGAGUGAUCGAAAGAUGAAAAGCACUUUGAAAAGAGAGUUAAAAAGUACGUGAAAUUGUUGAAAGGGAAGCGCUUGCGACCAGACUCGAUCUUUGGUGAUCAGCCGGGCUUCGGUCCGGUGCCCUUACCAUUGAUUGGGCCAGCAUCGGUUCCGACGGCGGGAUAAAAGGAGGAGGAAUGUGGCUCCCUUCGGGGAGUGUUAUAGCCUUCUUCACAAUGCCGCCAGUUGGGACCGAGGACCGCGCUAGGAUGCUGGCGUAAUGGUCUUAAGCGACCCGUCUUGAAACACGGACCAAGGAGUCUAACAUCUAUGCGAGUGUUCGGGUGGAAAACCCUUGCGCGUAAUGAAAGUGAACGGAGGUGUGAACCCUUUACCGGGUGCAACAUCGACCGGUCCUGAUGUCUUCGGAAGGAUCUGAGUAAGAGCAUAGCUGUUGGGACCCGAAAGAUGGUGAACUAUGCCUGAAUAGGGUGAAGCCAGAGGAAACUCUGGUGGAGGCUCGCAGCGGUUCUGACGUGCAAAUCGAUCGUCAAAUUUGGGUAUAGGGGCGAAAG